GAACUUAGCAGAGAUGCCUUGGUGCCUUCGGGAACUCUGAGACAGGUGCUGCAUGGCUGUCGUCAGCUCGUGUUGUGAAAUGUUGGGUUAAGUCCCGNAACGAGCGCAACCCUUAUCCUUUGUUGCCAGCGGUUCGGCCGGGAACUCAAAGGAGACUGCCGGUGAUAAACCGGAGGAAGGUGGGGAUGACGUCAAGUCAUCAUGGCCCUUACGGCCAGGGCUACACACGUGCUACAAUGGCGCAUACAAAGAGAAGCGACCUCGCGAGAGCAAGCGGACCUCAUAAAGUGCGUCGUAGUCCGGAUUGGAGUCUGCAACUCGACUCCAUGAAGUCGGAAUCGCUAGUAAUCGUAGAUCAGAAUGCUACGGUCGAAUACGUUCCCGGGCCUUGUACACACCGCCCGUCACACCAUGGGAGUGGGUUGCAAAAGAAGUAGGUAGCUUAACCUUCGGGAGGGCGCUUACCACUUUGUGAUUCAUGACUGGGGUGAAGUCGUAACAAGGUAGGCGUAGCGAG
RNAcentral lists this ribosomal RNA (517 nucleotides) under uncultured bacterium. RNAcentral describes it as "bacterial SSU rRNA". It matches the Rfam family "Bacterial small subunit ribosomal RNA", at positions 993 to 1509 of the family's 1533-position model. The record is from RNAcentral.